Non-coding RNA from Trichoderma gamsii, 416 nucleotides. The record is from Rfam. NCBI's taxonomy places the organism in Eukaryota, Fungi, Ascomycota, Sordariomycetes, Hypocreales, Hypocreaceae.
GCCCUCUUCAACGCUGCGUUUCCAUGCUACAAACGGAGAAUGAAAAGAGCCUUCGGGCUCUUUUCAAUCUCGAUUUCUUUUUCGCAUGUGGGAAAUUCGGAGAAAGCUUCAAAGCAGGAGGUGGAUACGUUCCUCUCUUGUGCUCGUUUUCCAUGCCUGGAGCGCCCUUGUGGCCUCCCGACGUGUGUCUAUCGAGUCUGCCUGUGAUGGCCUGGCGUCACCCCGACGUCUGCAACAGACAUCAGAAAUCUCAGGCCCGGGAGAACCUGCGUGUAUACUUCGGGAAGACGUGGGUUUAUCUCGGUGUCCUAUGGGAAGUCGUUGCGAAGCUUGUUGCGCAAACUUGAGUGCGAUAUGCAGCGUUCGUUUUGCUUCGGCGAAACGAAUCACACAAUUCCGAUCAUUCUGUUGAGGGC